UGGAAGGAAGACCUUUCUCUCUGUCUCUCUCUCUCACGUAUAUAACUCUACCUGUCAAAUAAAAAAUCAAUGGGACUUGAUAGAAAGCCCAGAAAUUGACCCACAAAUACCUGUAAGGUAACCUGCUCAGCAACCAAGAUGCUACUAAAAUUAAGUGGGGAAAUGAUAGUUUUUUUGAUAACUGAUUCUGGGUAAUUGAAGAUUCAUGUGAAAGGAUUAUUGACCUUUUUCUCACUCCAUCCUCAAAAAUUAAAUCAAAUGGAUCAUAGACCUACAUGGGAGAGGUAAAACCAUGGUGUGUCUGGGUGGGGGGAGCAUAAAUAAAUAUCUUUAUGACUUGGAGAGAAUAGAUUUUGUAAACAAGCAUAAAAAAAUUUCCCAUGAAAGAAAAGAUCAUUAAGUUGAACUUGAUUAAAAUGAAGAGCUUUAUUCUGUCAAAAAGCUAGACAAAGCUGAAGCCAGGAACCAGGACUCCACCCAGAUCUCCCACGUGGGUGGCAGGGACACAGCUAUGUGAGCUGUCACGUGCUGCCUCCUAGGGUGCACAUGGUCAGGAAGCCAGAAUUGGGAGCAGAGCCCGGCCCGGAGCCCAGGCUUUCCAGUGUGGGAUGUGGAUGUCCCAACCAGCGUCCUGACUGCUGUGUUAAACACCUGCACGUAAAUAAAUAAUUAUAAAACAUGUCGGGUGGGAAGGAGAUUGGAAAAAUAAAGUGGGACAGAAAGGAAGAGAGCAGAUGGGUUAGGAGGUGGUGGGGUGGGAUCCUGUCACCUCUCUGACAUUCGCCUCUCUCACGUUCGAGAGGAGUUUGGAGCAGUGGGUUCGUCCUGCGAUGUGGGGCAUCAGCACUCCCAAGGCGAAGGUGGCCCUUCCUGCGCAGGGAGGAGUGCGUCUCAGCUUCUCAUGCUGCUAGAGUGUCUGAGAGGAGCUCGUCAUGGAGGAAAAGUUUGUCUCCACUCGUGUCUCGUGGGUUCACAGUCGGAGCUGGGCUGGCCCCACAGCCUGGGGCCUGGUGAGAGGAGUGGGAGGUGGAACCCAUGCACAAGGAGGGGUACACAGAGGACACCGAGCAGACGGAGAGCAGCUGGGCCAGACUCAGCUGGCAAGAACCCCCUCGCAAAGGCGCGGCCCCAGCAACCCACGGACCUCCCACUAGACCCACCCCCUGAACAACAACUGGAUCUAGUCUCCACCCUGUGAGUGCCAUCAAUCCACGACUUUGGGGUUUAAAUGUCAGCUUGAGUUGGGAUGCCCAGUCCCAUUGGAGCUGUAGCAGGGAGCGCAGUUGAGCUCCGAGAGGGACUGGGCCAGAUCGUGAGGCAGGUCGGGAGAUGAUGCAGUGUCUGCUGGUAUGUCGGCCACGUUAGCGUGGCAGGGUGACAGAACACAGGUGAACAUCAAAUACACCUUCCGGAGAGAUGAAUGCUGUCAGAGAUACAGCAGCGUGUGGAUGUCAGGAUUUUUUUCAUAAUAUUCAACAAACUUUUUAGAGAUCUUUUGGGGGCCGGCACUGUGGCAUAGCAGAUGAAGCCGUUGCCUGCAGCACCAGCAUCCCGUAUGGGCGCCAGUUCAAGACCCAGCUGCUUCACUUCCGGUCCAGCUCUCUGCUAUGGCCUGGGAGAGCAGUGGAAGAUGGCCCAGGUGCUUGGGCCCCUGCACCCACGUGGGAGACUCCAAGGAGGUUCCUGGCUUCUGGCUUUGGAUCGGCGCAGCUCCAACUAUGUGGCCAAUUGGGGAGUGAACCAGCGGGUGGAAGACUUUCUGUCUCUACCUCUCUCUGUAACUCUGUAUUUCAAAUAAAUAAAAU
Molecule: non-coding RNA, 1805 nt
Organism: Oryctolagus cuniculus (rabbit)
Lineage: Eukaryota; Metazoa; Chordata; Mammalia; Lagomorpha; Leporidae
Source: RefSeq, a predicted model, not a curated record